UCUGGUUUUUUUACAGUGAGUAGGAGAAACCCUAGUUAGUAUUUCUACAGAAAAACCACCAGAAUGAAUCAUCCUCUAGGGGGCAACAAAGUGUGACUCAGGCUCUGAACUGCAGGAACCACGGAGGGAUUGACCCUGAAGUCUGGAACAGUCUGAAACGCAAGAAAACAGUGGGCAAGCUUCCAUUGUAUUAUUGUCUUCAAGAAUAUCUAAUGUUCUAUAGUAAUGAUAAGUGAUGCUGAGGCGGACAGAAGGACGAGGAGCUGGAGCAGUUGAAUGGAAUCCAAGCCUCAAGUCUGGGCAAACCUCGAGGAACAAGCACAUCUGUCUGACUCAGAUGACAGAGGAAAGCCAAAGAAGAAAAAAAACAGAAAGAGAUUUUUAGGGUGGAUGUGGCAACCGUGAGAAUGUUCCUGAACCACAGGCAAGAAGGAACUGCUGCAAUCUAUUCCUCUUGGACUUGGGCUGACACUAGAAUUCAAGAAUUGGGCACUGUAAUCAUGUCGAGGACACAUGACUCGCAAAUGAAGCAAGGCAGAAGUUGCCCUUCAGGUUCUGCUGACUGCUGAGACACAGGAGGAGCUGGGGUUUCCACUGUUGAAUCUUCCAUGACUAAUGGUACCAUAUAUUUGCUGUUAAAGAUGCAGCUUAAGGGUCUCCCAGAUAGCUGAGGAGAUAAAUGCACUGACCAUCAAGCUUGAUGACCUGACCGUGAACCUAACGGUGGAAGGAUGGAACCACACUCUGGAAGUUCCUAUCUGGCCUUCAUACGCAUGCUAUAGCUUGUGUGCGCACAGAAGCAGAAAAAUAAAUUUAAAGAAAAUAAAAAGGUUGCUAUU
Long non-coding RNA from Mus musculus (house mouse), 839 nucleotides. RefSeq annotates it as predicted gene, 41724. NCBI's taxonomy places the organism in Eukaryota, Metazoa, Chordata, Mammalia, Rodentia, Muridae. The transcript has 4 exons. The record is from RefSeq and is a predicted model, not a curated record.